Molecule: unclassified non-coding RNA, 1640 nt
Filed under: Hevea brasiliensis (rubber tree)
Lineage: Eukaryota; Viridiplantae; Streptophyta; Magnoliopsida; Malpighiales; Euphorbiaceae
Source: RNAcentral
CAUAAAAACAAAAUAAAAAGAAUCUUAAUAUAUUUUAUAUAUGACAAUUUAAUUGAUAUAAAAUAAUUCUAUAAGAAAAUUAUGUAAUAAAAUAAUUAUUCUAGAACAAGAUGACCGAGUCAACUCGCCAAUUCACACUGGGUUACACAUGUUAAUGAAAAACCAGUUGAGUCGCUUGAUUUUUGGCAGGUCAAUUCCUUAUCUAGUUCAACUAAAAACCAGCCCGGUUUAGUGGCUGGGUCACCAGAUCAACUCGGCAGCCUAGGUUUAAUAACACUGGUUUUUAUCAUAUUUGACUAAAUUUCCUUUUUUAACCAAUUUGAAAUAUUACCAAAUGCAUCCAAGAGCUCAUUUGACAGGACAAAAGUAUGCUUUCUGCUAUGAUCCUUAAGGUGUCCAACAUGCAAUGCCAAGAAAGAACAAUUUUAUUUUAAAAAUACUUUUCUUUUUCUUUUCCUAAAAUCUACUGUCGUUAUCUUCUCAGGAAAAAGGGGACAUGCUGCUAAAAUUACGAAUAAUUUGCUUAUAAAACACCAUCUGUGAGACCUUAUAGUGGCAUUUACAUAUUAAACACAUGCAUUUUGACACUCUAUCAAGCUCCCAUGGGAAAACAUAAGGAAGACACCAUAUUUCUAUUUUCCCUGGAUGGAGGUUAUUACUGUUCUAUCUCUUGUAUAAUAUCUAUGAAGUUAUAGAAACCUUGACUAAUGGUGCAUACAAUUAGUUAUGAGUCAUCAUAAUCAUGACCUACAUGAUUUCUUAUAUGCAGAACUACAACUAGUCAUUUUUCUCCACAUUAUGCCUUCAAACAGAGGAGUGACAAUAUUAACUUUCAACUCUGCUAAACUUCAGUGUACCAUAAGCGACUUUGAAUAUGCCUAGUUGACUUCCUGAAAUUGAAUAAGAUAAAAAACUUACCAUAGAAUUUCGAGAAGGACGAUCGGAAACAACUAAUGAAUGUGUAUGGUCCUUUUCGAAUCUUGUGACCACCCAUUUUCCUGAUUUAUUAAUCUUCACCAACAUCAUUGCUUUGCAACCUUCUCUCAUGCUAGCUCUUGGUUUCCUAACUGGUCCAAACUUGUCUCUAGCUUUAGCAUAAAAACCUUGUCUAUUACAAGAAAGUCGACGGGACAGUAUUCUCUUGUCAACCUCAGAACGCCGGCAUUGAUCAAUCCGCAUUAUGAAUCCUGCCCUUCUUGCAUACUCAUCGUAAAACUGCUUGGCAGCCUCUUCUGAUUCAAACUCCAUGCCAACACAUGGUUCUAGAAUUGGACCUUCUUCACUUGCAACCAAAUUUCUUUUGGCAGAACUAUCAACUGUUCCAACUUCAGCAUCCAAACUCAUGGACUUUAUCAAAAUUACUCGCUGACAGAAUGGCAGAUCCUCGAAUUCAUAAGGGAUUCAGUUUAAUUUUCCCGUAUUUGUUUCUUCAUUACCAGUGGCUGGACAGUUUGGACCAGGACUCUGAAUCUAUCAGAACUUCGAACGACUUGUCGUUCCUCUCAUGGAAAUUUUCCCAAGCGGUGGGUCCAAAACCAACAAAUAAAAGAUGUGAUCGCGUACAUCUCCGGUCUAUCAUGUCAGCUCUGCCGCUUCAACCCUCCGCGAUCCUAGGGUUUCACUGCUUCUGGUACGCUCAU